AUGCAUGUCUCAGUACAAGCCAAAUUAAGGUGAAACCGCGAAAGGCUCAUUAAAUCAGUUAUGGUUCCUUAGAUCGUACCCACAUUUACUUGGAUAACUGUGGUAAUUCUAGAGCUAAUACAUGCAAACAGAGCUCUGACCGGAGACGGAAGGGGCGCUUAUAUUAGAUCAAAACCAAUCGGUGGCGGGUUAUCUCGUCAUCGUACAUUUGGGUGACUCGGAAUAUUGUUUUUGGCUGAUCGCACGGUCCAGCACCGGCGACGUAUCUUUCAAAUGUCUGCCUUAUCAACUGUCGAUGGUAGGUUCUGCGCCUACCAUGGUUGUAACGGGUAACGGGGAAUCAGGGUUCGAUUCCGGAGAGGGAGCCUGAGAAACGGCUACCACAUCCAAGGAAGGCAGCAGGCGCGCAAAUUACCCACUCCCGGCACGGGGAGGUAGUGACGAAAAAUAACGAUACGGGACUCAUCCGAGGCCCCGUAAUCGGAAUGAGUACACUCUAAACCCUUUAACGAGGAUCAAUUGGAGGGCAAGUCUGGUGCCAGCAGCCGCGGUAAUUCCAGCUCCAAUAGCGUAUAUUAAAGUUGUUGCGGUUAAAAAGCUCGUAGUCGAAUCUGUGUCCCGCGCCGCCGGUUCAUCGCUCGCGGUGUUUAACUGGCGUGUCGCGAGACGUCCUGCCGGUGGGCUUAGCUCGUUCGCGAGCGGCCCAACUUCAAAUCCCACUGCGGUGCUCUUCACUGAGUGUCGGGGUGGGCCGGCACGUUUACUUUGAACAAAUUAGAGUGCUUAAAGCAGGCUAAAACUUCGCCUGAAUACUGUGUGCAUGGAAUAAUGGAAUAGGACCUCGGUUCUAUUUUGUUGGUUUUCGGAACCCCGAGGUAAUGAUUAAUAGGAACGGAUGGGGGCAUUCGUAUUGCGACGUUAGAGGUGAAAUUCUUGGAUCGUCGCAAGACGGACAGAAGCGAAAGCAUUUGCCAAAAACGCUUUCAUUGAUCAAGAACGAAAGUUAGAGGUUCGAAGGCGAUCAGAUACCGCCCUAGUUCUAACCAUAAACGAUGCCAGCUAGCGAUCCGCCGACGUUCCUCCGAUGACUCGGCGGGCAGCUUCCGGGAAACCAAAGCUUUUGGGUUCCGGGGGAAGUAUGGUUGCAAAGCUGAAACUUAAAGGAAUUGACGGAAGGGCACCACCAGGAGUGGAGCCUGCGGCUUAAUUUGACUCAACACGGGAAACCUCACCAGGCCCGGACACCGGAAGGAUUGACAGAUUGAGAGCUCUUUCUUGAUUCGGUGGGUGGUGGUGCAUGGCCGUUCUUAGUUGGUGGAGCGAUUUGUCUGGUUAAUUCCGAUAACGAACGAGACUCUAGCCUGCUAACUAGGCGCACUUUCGACAUCUCAAAGGCCCGCCGGCCCGGCAUCCGUGCCGAAGUCGCGCGCGGUUUUUACUGUCGGCGUAUAAUUAAUUCUUCUUAGAGGGACAGGCGGCUUCUAGCCGCACGAGAUUGAGCAAUAACAGGUCUGUGAUGCCCUUAGAUGUUCUGGGCCGCACGCGCGCUACACUGAAGGAAUCAGCGUGUCCUCCCUGGCCGAGAGGCCCGGGUAACCCGCUGAACCUCCUUCGUGCUAGGGAUUGGGGCUUGCAAUUGUUCCCCAUGAACGAGGAAUUCCCAGUAAGCGCGAGUCAUAAGCUCGCGUUGAUUACGUCCCUGCCCUUUGUACACACCGCCCGUCGCUACUACCGAUUGAAUGAUUUAGUGAGGUCUUCGGACCGGUACGCGGUGGCGCUACCGCGUCGCC
Molecule: ribosomal RNA, 1790 nt
Filed under: Scoliopsis sp. SLE0091
Lineage: Eukaryota; Metazoa; Arthropoda; Insecta; Coleoptera; Hydrophilidae
Description: SSU rRNA
Rfam family: Eukaryotic small subunit ribosomal RNA
Source: RNAcentral